Molecule: ribosomal RNA, 497 nt
Filed under: uncultured bacterium
Lineage: Bacteria
Description: partial 16S ribosomal RNA
Rfam family: Bacterial small subunit ribosomal RNA
Source: RNAcentral
GAUGAACGCUGGCGGCGUGCCUAAUACAUGCAAGUCGAGCGAACAGAUGAGGAGCUUGCUCCUCUGACGUUAGCGGCGGACGGGUGAGUAACACGUGGAUAACCUACCUAUAAGACUGGGAUAACUACGGGAAACCGGAGCUAAUACCGGAUAAUAUAUUGAACCGUAUGGUUCAAUAGUGAAAGACGGUUUUGCUGUCACUUAUAGAUGGAUCCGCGCCGCAUUAGCUAGUUGGUAAGGUAACGGCUUACCAAGGCAACGAUGCGUAGCCGACCUGAGAGGGUGAUCCGCCACACUGGAACUGAGGCACGGUCCAGACUCCUACGGGAGGCAGCAGUAGGGAAUCUUUCGCAAUGGGCGGAAGCCUGACGGAGCAACGCCGCGGGAGUGAAGAAGGUCUUCGGAUCGUAAAACUCUGUUAUUAGGGAAGAACAAAUGUGUGAGUAACUAUGCGCGUCUUGACGGUACCUAAUCAGAAAGCCACGGCUAACUACGUG